This 28-nucleotide non-coding RNA is filed under the name Mus musculus (house mouse). Lineage: Eukaryota; Metazoa; Chordata; Mammalia; Rodentia; Muridae. The record is from RNAcentral.
UUCCUUAGAAGAUGGUGAUGCUCAAGGG